UACGGGAGGCAGCAGUGGGGAAUCUUGCGCAAUGGGCGAAAGCCUGACGCAGCCAUGCCGCGUGAAUGAUGAAGGUCUUAGGGUUGUAAAAUUCUUUCACCGGGGACGAUAAUGACGGUACCCGGAGAAGAAGCCCCGGCUAACUUCGUGCCAGCAGCCGCGGUAAUACGAAGGGGCUAGCGUUGCUCGGAAUUACUGGGCGUAAAGGGAGCGUAGGCGGACAUUUAAGUCAGGGGUGAAAUCCCGGGGCUCAACCUCGGAAUUGCCUUUGAUACUGGGUGUCUUGAGUAUGAGAGAGGUGUGUGGAACUCCGAGUGUAGAGGUGAAAUUCGUAGAUAUUCGGAAAGAACACCAGUGGCGAAGGCGACACACUGGCUCAUUACUGACGCUGAGGCUCGAAAGCGUGGGGAGCAAACAGGGAUUAGAUACC
This 430-nucleotide ribosomal RNA is filed under the name uncultured bacterium. RNAcentral describes it as "bacterial SSU rRNA". It matches the Rfam family "Bacterial small subunit ribosomal RNA", at positions 340 to 786 of the family's 1533-position model. The record is from RNAcentral.